AUUUCUUGGUAGACAUACUGAUUCUGGAAGUUACAAACAAGCAUAUCUUCAUUUACAAACAAACAUUUCAUAGGUCUUUGACACCAACCGUCUACGUAUCCUUGCCUGGAUCCUCAAGCCACUCAGUGGGGGAACAACUUGGAGCGAGUUUCACUUGACCUGCCAGUGAGAGGUGCUGGAUCUUUUGGAUCUUUCAGCACUGUCUGCAAAUGCUAUCAGGUUCCAAGAAUUUGACAAAGCAUCCCUGGGCAUCAAAAACAUUGUGCAGAUCCCAUGGUGCAAUUCUCAAGCCCUCUUGAGAUGCUGUAUCUUCUCAACAUCAUCAGCUUCUUCACUUUCUACAGCAUCUCCUGUGCAGUUCCUUUCCCUGGGUGAACCACCGUGAACAUCUCCAUCUCUGUACUUAAAGGCAAAUGAAUACCACUGCUGUGUAGUCUCCAGUCCCUCUUGGCCCUCAGCACUGGUUUGAAAAUCCUUUUGCAAAUACUACACAAGCACUUCCUUGGGGCUGGGAGUCCAAGACUGCUGAGCUCCAUACUGGGAAGUUCCUAGAGAAGGACGCUCCAUUUACUGGCUAGA
Long non-coding RNA from Arvicola amphibius (Eurasian water vole), 579 nucleotides. RefSeq lists it as uncharacterized. The record is from RefSeq and is a predicted model, not a curated record. The transcript is spliced from 3 exons. NCBI's taxonomy places the organism in Eukaryota, Metazoa, Chordata, Mammalia, Rodentia, Cricetidae.